UAUUGAUUGGACAGAUGUUACUUCAUAAAAAGUUAAAAAAUCUAUAUGAAUAAUCCUAGCUUUAUUUUUGAAUGGACUUGAUUGCUGUAGAGAAGAUCCUGUCCAGCUUUUGUUGACAGAUGCCACCACUGGCAGGACACCAGUUUUAUUAAAAUGUAUCUAAAUAUUGUUCAAGGUCAAAUCAAAGUAAGUCCCCUCAGUACAUAUUAUCCAUGGUAGCUAUGAGACACACGUGGGAGUUGUUAUAAACAGAUCAUUUUCAAAUUGCAAAAAGUAAUGGCUGGAGUUUUGUAUGUCCAGAUUCAAUCUUUUCUUUUUUAGUGUGUUUAGUAAUGACCUUAAAGUGAUUAUUACUCAUGAUGACUACAGGCUACAAACCAAGACCAGGAAAAUGAUUUUGCAGUUUCCUGCAAGCCGAAGAACAUACAGAAGAACUGAAUGGUUACUCUUGAUGAAAACCGCCUGUUUCCACCAACUGACAUCACUGCAUGAAACCCUUCUGAAGCAUCAUGUGUCUCCAGCAAUUGAUGCAGCGCUUCUUACAAUACAUACAUUCAAGGAGUAUGAUAAAACUAGAAUUGACAUAUUAAGA
Spea bombifrons (plains spadefoot toad) is the source of this 592-nucleotide long non-coding RNA. RefSeq lists it as uncharacterized. The transcript has 3 exons. Lineage: Eukaryota; Metazoa; Chordata; Amphibia; Anura; Pelobatidae. The record is from RefSeq and is a predicted model, not a curated record.